UACGGAGGGUCCAAGCGUUAUCCGGAAUCAUUGGGUUUAAAGGGUCCGUAGGCGGUUUAGUAAGUCAGUGGUGAAAGCCCAUCGCUCAACGGUGGAACGGCCAUUGAUACUGCUAAACUUGAAUUAUUGGGAAGUAACUAGAAUAUGUAGUGUAGCGGUGAAAUGCUUAGAUAUUACAUGGAAUACCAAUUGCGAAGGCAGGUUACUAUCAAUAUAUUGACGCUGAUGGACGAAAGCGUGGGGAGCGAACAGG
This 253-nucleotide ribosomal RNA is filed under the name uncultured bacterium. Its description in RNAcentral is "partial 16S ribosomal RNA". It matches the Rfam family "Bacterial small subunit ribosomal RNA", at positions 524 to 776 of the family's 1533-position model. The record is from RNAcentral.